AUACGAAGGGGGCUAGCGUUGUUCGGAAUUACUGGGCGUAAAGCGCGCGUAGGCGGAUACUUAAGUCAGGGGUGAAAUCCCGAGGCUCAACCUCGGAACUGCCCUUGAUACUGGGUAUCUUGAGUUCGAGAGAGGUAAGUGGAAUUCCGAGUGUAGAGGUGAAAUUCGUAGAUAUUCGGAGGAACACCAGAGGCGAAGGCGGCUUACUGGCUCGAUACUGACGCUGAGGCGCGAAAGCGUGGGGAGCAAACAGGAUUAGAAACCCCGGUAGUCC
This 274-nucleotide ribosomal RNA is filed under the name uncultured bacterium. Its description in RNAcentral is "partial 16S ribosomal RNA". It matches the Rfam family "Bacterial small subunit ribosomal RNA", at positions 523 to 796 of the family's 1533-position model. The record is from RNAcentral.